Aedes albopictus (Asian tiger mosquito) is the source of this 11599-nucleotide RNA transcript. It is a transcript of the gene named octopamine receptor beta-2R, with no coding region annotated. The transcript has 8 exons. Lineage: Eukaryota; Metazoa; Arthropoda; Insecta; Diptera; Culicidae. The record is from RefSeq and is a predicted model, not a curated record.
CGCUGAAUGGGGUGGUUUUGGCUUUAGCUCGAACGAUGAACAACGACGACGACUACGGCGACGAUUGACUACGAUACUGAGCUCCUACCUAGCUCAGCCCGAGAUUGGCGGCGCUCUUUGGUCCCAGUUCUAUUCGGUCAGCCAGCACUCGCAGUCUGUCGCGCGGAAACUUCUCUCUAACUACGCUGCUGCACUAGGAGGGUUAGGUGUGGACUCCGUCAGGUCCGCCGUUCUUGUGUGUGAGGUCGACGGUGUGUGUGGUGUGACGGUGUCGCGUGCGAUUCAUCAUCAUCCCCAGGGCAGCGAAGAGUGUACGGCGAGGGCGACUCCUUGCAGAACCUUUGCGCUGCUGGAGAGAAGGGUCUCAACGGUGAAGCAGCAGCCAGCAACGCAACGGUGGCCCUGAGUUUGUGUUCUUUCGGUAUCAGCAGCACUUCAAAUGAACGAUAAAUUUCAGCCAAAUUACGAACAUGGAAUUACUGUGCACAAGAAGGUGUUUCAAACUGCGCCAGAAAUGUAAUUAAUGUUGCAAUUCGCUAGUGUUCCAACCUCGAUACCCCAUCAGCUGGGUGUCCACCGUGACAUCGCUCGCUCCGUGUAUACUCGUUAGCAAUAAUAUGCGCCGAAUGCGUUUAAAUAUUAGCCUACGCCAAAACAGCAAAAUAGAGCAAAAGUGAAGCAAAAGUCGAAAAGUCGUGGUUGUGAAUAUUUGGUAGAAAAUAAGUUAACCACGUCCGCGUGCGUGCGUGCGUACGUGUGUGUAUGUUUCCAAUGUGGUGUUCGUCCAUUAAUUAGCGAGUUCGGUUCUAAUUAGAGUGUUCAACGUACUGGUGGUCGGCAACGCAGGUCCUUCCUGCUCCCGGCAGGUUGUGCGUGCAAGCGAACGAGAAGAGGCGCAUCCGAUCACAGUGCGCGCGCCCAUUGUAUGAUGAAUCCUUCCAAUGAUGACCUACCGAAAUACAUGUACUCAGCGGCGGCGGCAGCAGUUUCCUCUACCUUCGCACUGGCCAGUGGCAGUAGCAGCAGCAGUAGUAGUAGUUCGGGAGGGGCACACGGCAGCCAGGAGGGCCUGGCUUCCUUCGGCAGUAACUCGACCGGUGGUGCUUCGCUGUUCUUCAAUGGCAACGGUUCGGCACUGGCAUCGGCGGCGGCUAAAGCGGCCGGGUCUUCGACCCUUUUCGGGGUCGGAGCGAGUGGGGUUUCGGGACACGCGGGGGAUUCUGGUGGACCGGGUGACCCAACGGGGAAUCACGUAAUCUUCCAGGGUUACAGUACCAGUUCGCCGACUUCGUUGGAUAUGACGACCGUCGUCGGAACGGAAGGAGUUAUGGAUGACUGCUGUGGUGCGGCCGCAGCUGCAGCCAGUGGCGAAUGGCUGGACGUGCUACUGCUGGUGCUGAAGGCAUCGAUCAUGAUGUUCAUCAUCGUGGCGGCCAUUUUCGGAAACCUGCUCGUCAUCAUAUCGGUUAAGCGACAUAGGAAGUUAAGAGUUAUAACAAAUUAUUUUGUGGUAUCGUUGGCCAUGGCAGACAUCAUGGUCGCGAUGAUGGCCAUGACAUUUAAUUUCAGUGUACAAAUUACGGGAAGUUGGAAAUUUGGAUCCUUCAUGUGUGACGUGUGGAACAGUUUGGAUGUGUACUUUUCGACCGCCAGCAUACUGCAUCUGUGCUGUAUUUCGGUGGAUAGGUAUUAUGCGAUAGUAAAACCACUUAAGUAUCCCAUAAACAUGACGAAACGAGUCGUGGCCAUAAUGUUACUCAAUACCUGGAUAUCACCAGCACUGUUGUCAUUCGUGCCGAUCUUCGCCGGUUGGUACACCACCGACAAGCACAAGGAGGACGUGCUGAAUAACCCGGACAACUGUUUGUUCAUCGUGAACAAACCGUACGCCGUCAUCUCCAGUUCGAUUUCGUUCUUCAUCCCCUGCACGAUCAUGGUGUUCACCUACUUCCAGAUAUUCCGCGAGGCCAACCGGCAGGAGAAACAGUUGGCCAUGCGCCAAGGGACUGCCAUGCUGAUGCACCAGCACAACGCCGGUGGAGGAGGAGGCGGCGGUGGCGGUGGUGGAGGGGGAUCCGGUAGUGCCGGAGGUCGAACCAAUGGCGAAGCCCUCAGCGGAUCCGGCUCGUCCCGGACGCUCACCAUGCACGAGGUGGACGCCGAACAGACGCCCACCAAGGAUCGACAUCUGAUCAAAAUGAAACGAGAACAUAAGGCUGCACGGACGCUCGGAAUCAUCAUGGGGACCUUCAUCCUCUGCUGGCUUCCGUUUUUUCUAUGGUACAUCAUCACGUCGCUCUGCGACGAGUGUCCCAAUCCGGACAUCGUGGUGGUCCUAGUCUUCUGGGUCGGCUACUUCAACUCGACGUUGAACCCGCUGAUCUACGCCUACUUCAACCGGGACUUCCGGGAAGCGUUCCGGAACACGCUGGACUGCAUGUUCUGCGCGUGGUGGCGCCGGGAAACGUCCCCGCUGGACAUCAACGUGCGGAGGUCCAGCCUGCGGUACGACUGCCGGGCGCGGAGCGUCUACUCGGAGAACUACCUCCGGUCGACGACGCAGAACGACCGGCUCAACAGUGAAAUCGGCGAGAGUCUCUAAUGUCUUCUGCCAGCAUCGUCCGGGACGUCUCGGGACACCAUCAUCGGCACCGCAACGCAUCCAAGCCAUUCGCCGCGACAGGAGUGCAGUGCGGUUUAAAGAGGGGUGCUGUUGCGCAGGGUUGGUGCGGUGGAGACGUCUUCGGAUCGGUGAGGGCCAAGGCUGAAAAAUACCAAAAAGUAGAUCAAUACACGAAACUAGGAAAUCCCUCUCGGAUUUUUCCUAAAUAUUCAGGUGAGUCAUUUUUUUAAGGAUUUCUACAAAGAUUCCUCCGUAAAUAUCUUCCUCUUGAGAUUUUUUUUCGAAGAUUUCUCUAGAAUUUCGAAUUUCACUCAUGUAUUCUUUUACAGUUAUCUAAAAAAAAAUCAUGAGAUCCAUUCGGAAAAAAAUCUUCAGGCAUCUUUUUAGAAAAGUCUUCUAUGAAUUUUUUCACCAAUUUAUCCUGUGAUGCUCUCAAACAUUCGUCCAAUUUCCUCAGAGAUGCGGCUGUAUAAUUCUUCAGCAGUUUUGCAACGGCUUCCGACCGAAGAUCCUUGAGAUUCCUCUAGAUUUUUAGGUUUUUUUUUAAAGAAAUUUUCCUGAAUUUUCAAAGAACUCUUCUCAAAAUUAGUUCAGAUCAGAGACUGUUCCAGAAGGCCAUUUGGAUAUUCAGACAUAUAAUACAAAUACUUAAGAGAUACAAACAGUCAGGAAUGCUUCUAGCAGAAUUUCUGAAAAUCUUCAAAAACUGCCUUCUAAUAUUUGGAAUUUUCUUCGAAGAAUUCCUUUAGAAUAUUCCCCAAGAAUUCCUUCUCAGACAUUUUUCAAUCUUCCAAAGUUUUUUUUUAAUUUAAUUCAUGGAUUGCUUUAGAAACUCUCCAAGGAUUUCUUAAACAAUCCACUAGGAAAAAAAAUUACACAGAUUCUAAUUAAGAAAAUGUAUGGAUUAACUCAGAACUCCAACGUAAAUUUUCUUUAGAUACUUUCUCAAAGUAUUCCUUCAAAGAAAUCUUCAAUAUGAUUUGCAAAUUUACCCAGGCAGGCAGGCUCAGUGGCGUAGCAAGGGGGGGGCGGAGGGUGCGGUCCGCACCGGGCCCCCGAAUUCAGGGGGCCUCCAAAUCAGGGAAGGUUUCUUACACUAGUUUGAAUAAAGUUCUUUAAAUAGCGAAAGUUUCCUAUACGUAUAUGUUCAAUACUUUGCAGGUCUGCUGAUAGUUAUGAAGGGGCCCCUUCGUAAUUAUCAAGGGUUUUUGGAAUGGGACACACAGAUGGCUUAUUUGAAAUCCACUUAUUAACAAUUGUGGAUAACACCAUUUAUUCAAGAAGUUUAGUUAAUUUACUUUCAACUAGUUUGAUAAUUACUCUUUGUACCUACAGGGGCCUCGAAAUUACAGGAAAAAAUAUGUUUGAAAUCAAAAUUGAUUUUCACGAAAUUCAGUACCGAUAUGGAAGUAAAAUCCAUGAGAAUUGUGUAAACCUCCCUUAUAAACAGGACCAAACACAGGACUUUUGACUUAGAUUGAAUUUAGCAGCUGAAAUUCAGGGGCCCCAUUUAUGAAAAUUACAAGUUACAUGUAAUGUUACGUCAAAACCGUAAUACUAAUAGUUUGUCGAUUUUUUGCUGCCUGCUCAGCGUAUUCCAAGUAUUCCUUGAAGGGUUUCUGCGUGAAUUACUCCGGGCAAGGUAAAUUCACCUUGCCUACGGGAUAUGUUUAACGAUUUAUCUAACAGUUACUUCAAAGAUGUCUACAAAAAAUCUCUAAGAAUUACUUCAGAACUUUAUUUAGAGAUUGCUUCAGAAAUUCUUCCAAGCAUUGAUUUAAGAAUAUUUACAAUGAUUCCUUAAGGAUCACUUCAAAGCAUUUCUUCGUGAUUUUUUUUCAGAAAUUUUUCAAGGAAUCCUUCAGGAAUUCUUUUGAGUUUUUUAGGAAUUUCUUCAAGCAUUCCUUUAGGAAUACCUCUUCGGAUUCCUUGAUAAAGUCCUUCAAGGAUUAUGUCAAGAAGUCCUCCAACGAGUCCUUUAGAUGAAUCUUAAGGAAUUUCUCUAUGGAUUCUUUUAGAGAUUUCUCCAAGAAGGAAUCUUGCUGGAGCUCCCCAUGGAAAUUUUUUUGAUGAAUUUCUGAGAUUAUGCUUGGAGCCAUACCUGAAUGGAUCCUUGGGUGGUUUUCUAUCGGAAUUUUGAAAGAAUUUCUAAAGGAGACCUUGAAGAAUCUUAUUUAUAAGAUGUAUUCAGGAAUAAUCAUUGGGUUGCUUGUGGAGGUAUCUUCGAUAAGAUUUUUGAAGAUUUUUCAGUGCUAUGCAGUAGUACAAGAAGUGCUAGAAGUAUUAUGAGAAAUUGCUUAAAAGAUUCCUGAAGAAAUCUUUAAACCAAAGGGAUUUUUGGUAGAAUAAAUUAUGAAAUGCCUAGAUUUUCUCUCAAAGAAAUCAAUGGCUGAAACCCCAAAAUAUUCAACUCGAAAUAUUUGAUUCAAUAAAACAAUCUUCAAAAGAUUUCUUAUAGACUUCCGUGCAUAAAUUUCUGUAAGACCCCCGAGCAAUUUUUUGCAAGAAUCUUUUGGAGAUGAAUGUGUUCAUCCUUGUAAGAUUACACUAGUUUACAGCAUUUUUGAACUCGGUAAGCUGAUGAUCGUUUUUGGUGUAGAAUCAUGCCCUGAGUUCGAAAACGCGAAGGAAAAAAAUUACAGUAGAGCGGAAAUUUUUUCGACUUUCCAUACAAGGUUGAUGAUUUGAAAUCGAUUUUUGUUCUAUUUUUAAGCAAAGUCGCUCACUUCAAACAUCUCAUUCUCCGUAAUCAAUGCUCCAAUUGAGCUGAAAUUUUUACUGUAACUUGCCUACAUAUGAUAUGUCAAAUAAACGUCAAGAAAGAAUUUUUAAGCUGUUUUUUUCUUAUUGAAAAAAAUACAUUUCAUCAAAAUUUUUUGGGAAUUUUGCUAAAAUUUAAGAAGAUCGUCCCUAAAACCCGCCAAUAUCUUGAAUUUCAUCAAUCUGACGCAAAACCUGUAUUCAGAUGAUCGAAUGGUAUUGUAUUCAGCUUUUAAUUAAUGGAAAAAGAUUUAAAAUUGGUUGAACAAAACGCAAUAUAUUUGAAUUUUAGUAAAUUACAUAUUUUGAAAAGUUGCAAAACUCGAUAUUGAGCUAAAACUCAAAAACUGUUCUACUUAAAAUUUUUUGAAGGUCGGUUUCGAAAUCAGCACUAAAUAGUGCUUCAAAAAUUUUGGUCGUUGACAGAAGUUCACGACUUUCGUUUUAUUUUGUAAACUUGUGUUAUCUGAAUUAAAAUUUGAAAAUCUGAGAAAUCCCUAAAGGAGAAAAAGAAUAAAUCCUUACUGGAAUUACUUGAAGGAUUCUUUAACGAAUUGUAUACGAGGAUAUGAAAAAAGUUGCGCAAGGAAUCUGUGAAUCAUUUCCUACAUAAAUUAUUGGAAGGAUUUCUGAAGAACUAAAGAAAUGCUUAAACUAAUUUGUAAGAAUUCAUUGAAAGGACAUCAAGAAAACAAUGCAAAAAGAACCCUUUAAGAAAUUUCUUUGAAAAAUAGUCUUGAAAUAAUUUCUAAAGAAUUCCUCUGGGAAAGCGCUUACGCCUAAGAGACUCUUUAUGGAAUUUUUGCGAAUACAUGUUACUAAAGAAAUUCCUACAGAAACGCUUGGAGGAGUUUCCGAAGCAAUCGAUGUAGCAACUUUCGAAGAAAAUCUUGAAGGAAUUUGAAAAGAAGUUCUUGAAGAAAUUCCUAGAUGAAUCGUAAAAUAUAUCCAAAAAGAAGUUCCUCAUUUGACACAAAUGCUUGAUGAAAUCGUUAGAAAAAUUUCUUAGAAGUUUCGCCAAGGAAAUCGGGACGAAAUAGGUGUUAUCGCUAAAGAGAUCUUAAAAGGUAUCAAUAGAAACAUUCCAGACGAAAACCUUGAAAGAAUACUUAAAGGAUUCAUUCAAGGAAUUCCAGUAGGAAUUUCUGUUAGAACUCUUGAAACAAUUAUAACAUUUUUUUAUUUGAAUGUCAGAAGUAUUUCUUCGGAAAUUUCUUUUGGAUAUUUUACAGUGAUUACUUUGGAAAUUCAACAAUUCUGUAAGGAAUAUCUUUAAAAAUUUAUUUGGAAAUCCUUUCGGUAGUUACUUUGAAAAUUUCCUUCGGAAAUUUCUUAAGCAUUUUUUUUAAAUUUCAUUAUAUUUGAAAAUUUUCUUUGACAAUUCUUGUGGAAAUUGUCACAGCUAAUUUAAAAUUGAGUUCGCAAUUCCUUUGAUAGUUUUUUUCCAAGGAACUCCGUCAGAAGAUGAUGAUGAACCUGGGCUUGAUAGUGUAAUACCUGUAAGUAAAAAGAAAAUCGGGUUAAGUACUGUUCCUUUCAGUUCCACUAAGAAAUUGCAUCCUUUGACAGAUACGUAUUUUGACCUCAACUGUAAGGUCGUCUUCAGUGUUGCGUACUUGUCAAGAUACGUCACCUUGUCGAGUCAAGUGCACUACACUGAAGACGACCUUACAGUUGAGGUCGAAAUACGUAUCUGUCAAAGGAUGCAAUUUCUUAGUGAAACUGAAAGGAACAGUAUCAGGUAUCAGGUAUCAGAAGGCCGGCUCCAGAGGCACGUUAUCCUCCAUUUGGGACAUUUGUGCCAUCGCCAUACAUAUAAGCCUAUUUCAUCAUUUACCUGAGGGAGAAUGGGACAAGGGAUGGAAUAGGAUUAGGAAAGGGAAAGGUGAUGAAAUAGGAAGGGGUACCCUAGAAGAGGGAAUGAACGCAUAAGCGCAAUGGGAGCUCAUAGCCCAUACCACAAUGGGUUUAUUCAGUGCCCUGAAAAGGACGCUGUAAAACGCAUAAGCGUAAAGAGAGCCUAUAGCUCAAUGGAGGUAGCUUGUGACGUCAUGCGACUUUCAAUACGACAUUGAAAGGCACGUCAUCCAAAGCAUCCUCAAUAUUGACCAGUCCAAAUUCCUGUGUGGUAGCGGUUUGUGUUCAGAUUUCCCGUGUUAAUCUAUCUGUAAGAACUUUGUAAACAUCUUUUGUUCUCACGUAUAUGGAUAGGCUUGCAUUAGGUUUCGUGAGACAUUUUUUGGACAACUCAAUUCAAGAAAUUACCGCAAAACCUGCGUUUGAGCGAGUACUUUCUUGAAAACAUAUACAACUUUUUGUAAAAGAGUCACUGUGGACAUCCCAAAUUGGGACGCAUGUGAGUUCACAUGAGUAGGUACGUCAGCCAGACGAACAUCACUGAUGUGAAAAGCGACAAUGCGUUUCAAUCUGAAACUCAUUCCAUCUUUAUUCAACGCAAGCACCCUUUCGGGAUAAAACUACAGAGUAAUUUCACGCCAUGAAAAUACCCCAUAGAAAACUACAAGAGUUCAAAACAUGUUUGAAAUACUCAAAUCCCUCUGCAGAAAAUAGGACAAAACCCCAUUUGCUCCUGGAGAUUUGAAUUAAGCAGAGCUUUUUAGGGCCCACUAAGUCGAUUAUAUAGCUAUAAUUCUCAAGCGGAAGCUGACGAAUUUCGCACCAACUCGUCUUCGGGGUUGGCAGCACCCCCUCAGAAUGUUAUGAAAUUUUGUAGGUUUCAAGACUUUACCUUUUCAAGCAACUUUGCAUAUUUUGUUUUUUCAAAAUUAACCUGGACUAACAUUUAAAAAGAGUCAAAGUUUUCUAACCGUUUUUUUUUCACAAAAAAAUAACUCGAAUAUGAUAAGAUGUACAAAAAAGUGAUGUAUGGGGGACAUUUAGAGAAUUGUACAAGCUUUCAUGAAAAAAUAUUUUAAAAAUUUUAAAUACAUUUUUACACGUUAAAAAAUAUAUUUUUAAAAUUAAAAGUCAAUUUACAGAAAAUGCCCACUUUUUUAUGUUUUGAAAUUUUUUUCCAAGAAAGUCAAUAUUGUUGCCUAACUUUCCUCCAUACAUCACAAGAUGGGCACUUUUAAGGAAAAAAAGUUUUUUUUAACAAAAACUUUUUCAUGUUAGUUUUUUUAGCGUGUUGCGCAUUAGCCGUUUUUUUACAAAAAAUAUAACUCGAAUAUGAUAAGUUGUACAAAAAAGUGAUGUAUGGGGGACUUUUAGGGAAUUGUCCAAGCUUUCAAGAAAACAUAUUUAAAAAAUAUAAAAAAAAUGUUUUACACGCUAAAAAAUAUCUUUUCAAAAUUAAAAGUCAAUUUACAGAAAAAGCCCACUUUUUUAUGUUUUGAAUUUUUUUUCCAAGAUAGACAAUAUAGUUGCCUAACUUUCCUCCAUACAUCACAAGAUGGGCAUUUUUAAGAAAAAAUUUUUUUCUAAAAAAACUUUUUCAUUUUAUUUUUUUUUGCGUGUUGUGCAUUAACUCGUACAGUAAUGUAUCCAGAAUCCUAAUGACAAUCCAUUAAAACUUAAUGGGCUCAACUACUUUUUUAAUAUCUUAACGUGCUUGACAUUGAAUACGUGCUUGAUAUUGGAAAGGGCUCAAGACAAAUUUGCUUUUAGGGUUUUAUAUCAAUGAAAACGCUUGUGUAUUGAUGAAAUAUGUACAUAUGUAUAUGUGUAUUCAAUUAUUUUCUUUUCUACAAUAUAUACAUCCUUCUUUUAUACAUUCUAUUGUAACGUUUUUUGAAUAUUAGAUCUUUAGUCUAUUUGAAACAAAGUAAACUUUUUUGGAUUAUUUUUUGAAUUCGAAAACUUCUUCGCUUCAAUUUGAUUUUCUGAAAUUGGCACAAAUGAAUGAAAUUUUUGUGUACCAGGUAUUGUUUUUACGUGACUGUAUGUGUAUAGUUCUUCAAGUUCAUCCGUCAUUUUUGCAUAUUGUUCAUUUGAAAUAAAGCAGAAAUUCAAUUUUGUUAUAUGUAUAUCUGACUGUUUAAUUGCCCAGUCAUACAGUUCUCGAGGAGUUGUGAUUGUGUUUCCAUAAUCUCGAGCAAGACUUGCUCGUUUUGCCAUUCGCUUGAGAGUACCUCCAACAGCGUCACAUGGACCUUUGCCAUGUGAAGUUGCGAAGAAGUGCCAUUCUGCUUCCAAUCCAUAAUUGGACCGAAAACUGCACAAACUGGCAAAAUUUUUUUUGUUCUUAUAAUGAGCUGCUGCUCCAUCUGACAUGAAAGUAAUUUUUGAGAAAUCAAUCGAUUGUUUAAUGAAAUCCAGCAGUUUUGAUAUAAAUAACUGAACUGCUGUUGUAUCGUGUGUAAGUACUUCAGAUAUUAUUAUAAAGCUCAAGUUUUCCAACUUAUUUUCUUUUCUGUAGUACACUUCAAACGGGUGAAUGGUAGCUUGAGAAUUAUUCCAAUGGUAACCUUGAGCUGAAUUUUGAAUGAUAAAUGAAUAAUUUUCUGAAAAGUCACAAAUUGUUAAUACUUCACCCUGUUUAAGAGAUUCUUUUUUAUCCCGCAAAAAUGAGGAUUGUUCUUUAUAAAUGAAAUCAUGAGUUAUAAGCUUAUCAACUUUUUCUACAAAAUACGGAACAAACUCGUCUAUAGUCUUAGUAAUAGUUUCCAAAUUACAUCGAUCAGUGGUUAGCCAUUGUGGAAAUAAAACCGAUUCUUUAUCAUUCGCUUCUAAUAAUGAUGUUAGUUCACUGGUUCUAGGCACACAAUAAUACAAUUUCAGCAAACAGAAUGCUGUUUUAAGCAUUCAGAUAUCAAAACAAGCUGAGAAACAAGUUCUAUUCCAGUUGGGAUGUAACGCCAAGAAAAAGAAGGCACCCAAUCAAACAAAGUUGUAAUGCCCAUUGAGUGUUAUUAAAUGGGUAUAAGGAUUCUUGAUACAUCCUGUACGAGUUAAUGCGCAACACGCUAAAAAAAAUAACAUGAAAAAGUUUUUGUUAGAAAAACUUUUUUUCCUUAAAAGUGCCCGUCUUGUGAUGUAUGGAGGAAAGUUAGGCAACAAUAUUGACUUUCUUGGAAAAAAAUUUCAAAACAUAAAAAAGUGGGCAUUUUCUGUAAAUUGACUUUUAAUUUUAAAAAUAUAUUUUUUAGCGUGUAAAAAUGUAUUUUGAAUUUUUAAAAUAUUUUUUCAUGAAAGCUUGGACAAUUCUCUAAAUGUCCCCCAUACAGCACUUUUCUAUAGGUCUUGUCAUUUUUGAGUUACAUCGAUUUUAAAAAAUUCUUCGAAAAAAAGUUAGGCCCUCUUCAAAUGUUACUCUUGAAAAUUUUCGAAAAUUUAAGUAUGCAAAGUUGCUUAUAAAAACCUAGUAUUUAUGCCCACCAAGUCUCAUUCGAUUCUGAGAGGGUGUUGCCAACCACUGGUCGAGUUGGCGCGAAAUUCGUCAGCUAGAGAUUCGUAACCAUACAAAAGAAUGGUUUAUCCGAAGAUAUUUUGAACUCGAACAGAUCAGAGUUCCAUUCAGGAAUACCUCUUGCAGUCCGCACAGACCACAGAGGACAAGCUUCUUUCAAAGCAAUAGUUAUGGUACACCACAAUAAAGGGCGUUAUAGGUACAAAACCACAAUGAAACUCUCUUGGAGUAGCAAUGGAAGCGAGUUAUCCCCAAAAUGUGGUCGCAACCAAUUAGUACAGGUUUCCUAGUUCGUUGAGCAGGGACGCCUGAAUACGCAAAUUUUGCGAAGGAACACUCAAAAGUGCAAAGAAGGUCAAAUGGAGACUCCUCAUCUGACACAUGCCAAUCAGUCAACUCAUGACAAAUUCUGCUCAUGCAGAGAUUGGUUAGGUGCAAUUCUAUGUUAAGUUAUCCAUGAACUGUACUACCUAAGUAAACCAUCAAACUGAAGCAUCUCCAAUUAAUGUUUGAGCUACUUCAGAUGAUGUAAUCAUCGUAACAAUACUGCCAAAUAUCAACGAAAAAAUGCUGAAUACAAGAGCUUGCUUGAAGGCAUCCAUAAGGAAAGGUUGAAACAUACUGUUAACGUUAUUCUAAGAUAUAGCAUGCUCGAGGCACGACACUUCAUUUAUAAUGAAAGAAGCAAAACUGGGUUCACAAGGUAAUCUAUACAGAAGUUACCCUACGAAAAUGAACUUUUUGAAGUAGAGCCACUUGGGCCACGCACGCUUUUAACGGUGAAAAUUGAUCUGAGGUUUCCUAGCCGUAGCCACUACCCAAACUAGACUGGAUUACACUCUUCACAA